UGAGGAAUAUUGGUCAAUGGGCGAAAGCCUGAACCAGCCAAGUAGCGUGCAGGAUGACGGCCCUACGGGUUGUAAACUGCUUUUAGGCGGGGGUAAAGGGGCGGACGUGUUCCGCCUUUGCAAGUACCGCCAGAAAAAGGACCGGCUAAUUCCGUGCCAGCAGCCGCGGUAAUACGGAAGGUCCGGGCGUUAUCCGGAUUUAUUGGGUUUAAAGGGAGCGUAGGCGGGCUAUUAAGUCAGCUGUGAAAUCCGGCGGCUCAACCGUCGGCCUGCAGUUGAUACUGGUGGCCUUGAGUGCGCGCAGGGGCGUUGGAAUUCAUGGUGUAGCGGUGAAAUGCUCAGAUAUCAUGAAGAACUCCGAUCGCGAAGGCAGAUGCCCGGAGCGCAACUGACGCUGAGGCUCGAAAGUGCGGGUAUCAAACAGGA
RNAcentral lists this ribosomal RNA (426 nucleotides) under uncultured bacterium. RNAcentral's name for it is "bacterial SSU rRNA". It matches the Rfam family "Bacterial small subunit ribosomal RNA", at positions 355 to 777 of the family's 1533-position model. The record is from RNAcentral.